AAAAUUUACCCAUUUAAGGGAGCAUGCGCACAAAAAUCUAUUGAAAACCCAAAUCCACCUUUUUAAAACUCUUUUUCCUUUUAACAAUCACCUUUUUUUUUUUUUUGAAAAAAACUUAAGAAUUUUUUUUUGAAAUGUUCUCUCAACUCAUACACUCAUUUUCUCCUCUUCAUCAGACACCAGCUCUAUCAAAGGUCCCAUGUGCGAUGGCCACCGACGACAUGAGCACAACUCCGGUGGCGGUGGCAAGGGCGGUGCUUGCAGUGGCGGUGGCAAGUGGAGGCACCUAGGGUUUGCUGCUUCCUUGUUUUUUCUGCUGGUGGUUUGGGCUAAGGUAGGUUGGGCUUAGUUGGUUUAAUUGGUAUUGGGUUUAGUUUAGUUUAAUUGGGUUGAAGACUUAAGUUUGAGUUUUGGGUUGGUUGUUGGACAGUUUAUUUUUGGGGUGAGUUAAUUUGGUUUAAUUGGGGUUGGAGCUUGGUUUGUACCUAAGCUAAAAUUGGACCUCAACAAUUAAUAUAAUUACUAUUACUUAUUAUUUUAAUAAAA
Molecule: long non-coding RNA, 546 nt
Organism: Gossypium arboreum
Lineage: Eukaryota; Viridiplantae; Streptophyta; Magnoliopsida; Malvales; Malvaceae
Exons: 2
Source: RefSeq, a predicted model, not a curated record